CCUACGGGCGGCAGCAGUGGGGAAUAUUGGGCAAUGGGCGCAAGCCUGACGCAGCAACGCCGCGUGAAGGAAGAAGGCUUUCGGGUUGUAAACUUCUUUUCUGAGGGACGAAGAAAGUGACGGUACCUCAGGAAUAAGUCACGGCUAACUACGUGCCAGCAGCCGCGGUAAUACGUAGGUGGCAAGCGUUAUCCGGAUUUAUUGGGUGUAAAGGGCGUGUAGGCGGGAAAGCAAGUCAGAUGUGAAAACUCAGGGCUCAACCUUGAGCCUGCAUUGGAAACUGUUUGUCUUGAGUGCUGGAGAGGCAAUUGGAAUUCCGUGUGUAGCGGUGAAAUGCGUAGAUAUACGGAGGAACACCAGUGGCGAAGGCGGAUUGCUGGACAGUAACUGACGCUGAGGCGCGAAAGCGUGGGGAGCAAACAGGAUUAGAUACCCGGGUAGUC
Molecule: ribosomal RNA, 443 nt
Filed under: uncultured bacterium
Lineage: Bacteria
Description: partial 16S ribosomal RNA
Rfam family: Bacterial small subunit ribosomal RNA
Source: RNAcentral